UCCCACCUGCCGGGAAGAAAACCCCACUGUGCCCGGCAAAAUGGACACAAGAACACUGAGUCUGCCAGGGCACAGAGACAAAUGAGGAAGCCAUAACUGCACCAAUUACACAACCCGGAGUCCUAACAGAUAACAAACACAAGCGAAUUAUACUCUCGGUUAAAUUCAGCGAUGAAUACUAACUCUGAAGACUUUCUUGUAAAUUGAAAAAUACGACAAUCAACAAAAGGUUCCACUAUGGACUCCAUGAAAAGUCUGCAAAUGUUUAGUCUGACUGUGGCUGGCUGUGUUUGGGGAAGGGCUGAGAAGGCUCCGUGUGUAUUGCUGGGGAUCGAACCCAGAGCCUCAAGAAUGCUUGCAAAUGUUCUAAUGUUCAGCUGCAUCCCCAGGCCUCAAAGACGUUAAAGAACAGUAAGCAAGGAGUAGAACAGAGACCACUGGUGGGGACAAGCCUAAGAUCUAAGUCCUUAAGGGAAAGGAGCGCCCUCGCUGCGGCCGGUUCCGUCCAUGGGUAGAACUGUCUGCUACAGGUCUGAGAGUACAGAUGUGAUCAAAGUACAGGGGAAGCAGACCAACCAACGCCACUGGGGAAAUGCUCUAAUCAAGUUCCAAGCAGAUCUCUUUGCUGCAGGAAGCCCCCAGGAACUCCGGUAACCAGCCCUUCAGACCAUGACGGAAUUAUGCAACUGGCUUUCCUGGGGUUUCUACCUGUAGACAGCAGAUCACAGAACAUACUCCCUGCUAUCAUCCUCCAGAGUCAUAGGCAGCAGCCAGAAUUGAUCUGUGAUCUGUUUCCGUCUUACAAAACCAUGCCGAGAGCCACAGUGUGCUUGCAGCGGGGAGCAAACGGAAAUACUCAAGAGUCAGUUUCCUCAUACACAGGAGACAUGUGUGAAGCAAGGAUCACUGACCCAGCUACACAGAUAAUUCUUAUGACUGAUAACUGCACUCUCUGCCAUAGCCCACCGCAGACGGCACAGGGCAGCUGACAAGAAAAAUCACCAACUUCUACUAGUAGCUCCUGGGAGGACCAGAGAGAGAGAGCUUCCCUUCAACCCUCUUUCUUCAACAAGUUUGACAGUACAUUCAUUGUUUCUUAGGGUGGGAAGUAAACUCCUCAAAGACAGCAUUCUCUUCAGUGGUACAGUCAUUGGUAAACGGUGCCUGCUGCUCCUGUAAAUAAACCCUCAUCCAUGUUCCUGUUUGGCAACAAAUAGUCUUCAAGCCAGGCUCCUGUUGGCGUGGGAACACUGAAGAAAAGUCACACUCUAUUCAAUAAAUACACAGAUACUGCUUCCUCGAGUCUAUUGGAACAAUACAGCAAAGACGGACUCUGCCUGAGACCAAGUCUAAAGUGGUAUUUACAGAGAAAAGCAGGUCCCACCUUAUGCCGCACACCCUAAGGGGGCUCCCUAUGAUAUAGACUCCCGCAGCUGGGGGAACCGCACCAAAGGCCAACCUUUC
Peromyscus eremicus (cactus mouse) is the source of this 1464-nucleotide long non-coding RNA. RefSeq lists it as uncharacterized. The transcript has 6 exons. The record is from RefSeq and is a predicted model, not a curated record. NCBI's taxonomy places the organism in Eukaryota, Metazoa, Chordata, Mammalia, Rodentia, Cricetidae.